RNAcentral lists this microRNA precursor (59 nucleotides) under Homo sapiens (human). RNAcentral describes it as "Hsa-Mir-430-P20_pre stem-loop". The record is from RNAcentral. Lineage: Eukaryota; Metazoa; Chordata; Mammalia; Primates; Hominidae.
CUCCAGAGGGAUGCACUUUCUCUUAUGUGAAAAAAAAGAAGGCGCUUCCCUUUAGAGCG